This 896-nucleotide long non-coding RNA is filed under the name Aquilegia coerulea. Its description in RNAcentral is "long non-coding RNA (ACOE_LNC000210)". Lineage: Eukaryota; Viridiplantae; Streptophyta; Magnoliopsida; Ranunculales; Ranunculaceae. The record is from RNAcentral.
AAGAGUAAGGGUGAGUCUUCAGAUGCUUACCCAGCGAGAAGAAGAUGAGAUGACGCCACGACGUGAAGAAUCACAGCGGUGGUGGUGGUGGUGGUGGAGGUGGUGGUGGAGGGAGAAGAGUUGAGAAAGAGAGAGAGAGAGAGAGAUGGAGUUUUGGUUGCGGUGGUGAGGGUGAGAAAGAGAGAUCGAGUUUUAGGUUGUGUUUUUUUUGCUGAAUUCUAAGUCAUUUUAGUAGUAAUGGAGAAGAUGAGAAGAAGAUGAGAACAGAUGAAGAAGAUGAGAAGAAGAUGAGAAGAAGAUGCUUACCCAGCGAGAAGAAGACGAGAAGAAUCACAGCAGUGGUGGUGGUGGUGGUGGUGGGUAGUAGUGGUGGUGAAGAAAGAGAGAUCGAGUUUUAGGUUGCGGUGGUGAGGGUGAGAAAGAGAGAUCGAGUUUUUUGCGGUGGUGAGGGUGAGAAAGAGAGAUCGAGUGAGGUUGCGGCCGCCAUUAGAGAGAGAGAGAGAUCGAGUUUUAGGUUUGUUUUUUUUUUUAUGUUAUAUAGUGUGGCGAAAAAUGUUGGCGAAUUCGCGGUGAAUAAAAAAACACCUAUUCGGGUGGGCGAAAAAAUGGUCGAUUCGCCGAGUUUUUUUGGUGAAUGAGUGUAUUUUGACAAAAAAAUCCGGUGUAUAAAUAAUUUACUCCAAAUACGCCAAAUUCACCGAGUCUUUAUCAAACAUCAAGAAUACCGGUGAAACGCGGCGAAUCACCCAUUCACCACGGCGAAUCGGUUAUCAAACAGGGCCUACAUUCUUUAGAAACGUGGAACAAAUUCACACUCCAUAUUGAGGUGUCCAUAUCAUAGUACAAAAUAUCGUUAUCGACUAAUGUAUCGAUCUCCAAAAAAUAGAUAUAUCGGG